UACGUAGGCAGCAAGCGUUGUUCGGAGUUACUGGGCGUAAAGAGUGUGUAGGCGGUUCCCCAAGUUCGGUGUGAAAUCUCCCGGCUCAACUGGGAGGGUGCGCCGGAAACUGGGGGGCUCGAGUGUGGGAGAGGAAAGCGGAAUUCCUGGUGUAGCGGUGAAAUGCGUAGAUAUCAGGAGGAACACCUGUGGUGUAGACGGCUUUCUGGACCACGACUGACGCUGAGACACGAAAGCGUGGGGAGCAAACAGG
Molecule: ribosomal RNA, 253 nt
Filed under: uncultured Acidobacteriota bacterium
Lineage: Bacteria; Pseudomonadati; Acidobacteriota
Description: uncultured Acidobacteria bacterium partial 16S ribosomal RNA
Rfam family: Bacterial small subunit ribosomal RNA
Source: RNAcentral